GGAUUAGGCAUGCAAGUCGAACGAGAACCCCGCAAGGGGUGAAAGUGGCAAACGGCGUAGUAAGGCGUAGGUGACGUACCUCCCGAUUCGGGAUAGCUACGGGAAACUGUAGGUAAUACCGGAUAAUCCCUCCGAGAUUGAAAAUCGGAGUGCAAAGGUGUGAUUCCGUCAGGAGAGCGGCUUACGUGGUAUUAGCUAGUUGGUGAGGUAAUGGCUCACCAAGGCUUCGAUGCCUAGGGGGUGUUAGCGCAUGACCCCCACGACUGGGACUGAGAUACUGCCCAGACACCUACGGGUGGCUGCAGUCGAGAAUCUUCGGCAAUGGGCGCAAGCCUGACCGAGCGACGCCGCGUGUGGGAUGAAGGCCCUUGGGUUGUAAACCACUGUCAGAGGGGAUGAAAUGCGGGUGGGUUCUCCCAUCCGUUUGACAUAGCCUCAGAGGAAGCACGGGCUAAGUUCGUGCCAGCAGCCGCGGUAAUA
This 480-nucleotide ribosomal RNA is filed under the name uncultured bacterium. RNAcentral describes it as "bacterial SSU rRNA". It matches the Rfam family "Bacterial small subunit ribosomal RNA", at positions 46 to 525 of the family's 1533-position model. The record is from RNAcentral.